Molecule: ribosomal RNA, 50 nt
Filed under: Microdochium bolleyi
Lineage: Eukaryota; Fungi; Ascomycota; Sordariomycetes; Xylariales; Microdochiaceae
Description: partial 28S ribosomal RNA
Source: RNAcentral
GUUGACCUCGGGAUCAAGGUAGNGAAUACCCGCUGAACUUAAGCAUAUCA